GCUCGGUGCAAAACUGCUGCCGAUAGCUCACCCUGAAAGAAAAGGCAGCGGCGGCUGCGAUUCUGGAUAGGAGCGGCGGCGCGGUUGAGCAAAGGCGUCGGCGCUCGUGCUAGCACGAGCGAGUCGACGACAGUAAAAAGCAGCGGCGUCAUGGGCGAUUUUACCUUGGUCACGACUAGGGGAUUUUAUAGGUGCUCGGGCACCUCGGCGUCCGUGAGGUCGAGGCCGCGUGGCGCGUACGCCUGCCAUGGGGGCUAUCCUCGAUUCGGCAUGGCUCCAGCUCGCUCUUCGCCCCAAAGAAGCCCGGCGUCACCGGAGGGAUGCCUGCAAAAAAUUGGACGAGGUACUGACGUGGAAAUAUUUGGUUUAAAGAUUGCCAACUACAGAAUGCACAGGGCAUUCAAUUUUGAGUGUUUUGCUUCCAGCGGGGGUGGAUUUGGGACUGAUUUUACAAAUAAGAAAAGAAUUAAAAGCAGGAAGAGGGCAAAGGAUGUUGUGCAGGACCCAAGCAAGGUAGCAUCUGCAGACUCAAAGAACCAGGAACAGUGGGCACCAGAGUUAGGAAUUGGAAGAGAAAACAAAUCUGGUAAAACGGUCAUGGAUAAGAAAUUUCUGGAAAAAGUUGAAGCCGUUCGAAGGUCUGCACUUGAUAAAAAGAAAGUUGAAGAGACCAAAAAUUAUCAAGCUAUUGAUUAUGAUGCUCCAAUUGAAUCAGAUAAGAGCACACUUGGCUUUGGUACAAGGGUUGGAAUUGGCAUAGCUGUUGUGGUUUUUGGACUAGUCUUCACUUUUGGGGAUUUCCUCCCUUCUGGAAGUGUUAGCCCUAGCAAUGAAAGCACUGUGGUUAACAAACAGCUUUCAGAGGANNNNNNNNNNNNNNNNNAGAGGGCACUUGAAGGGUACGAAGAAACACUGACGAAGUCGCCUAACGAUCCUACCGCUCUUGAGGGUGCAGCAGUAUCGUUGGUUGAACUAGGUGAAUAUCAGAAGGCCUCAGAUCUACUUGAGAAGCUAGUUAAGGUAAUCCCCGACAAAGCAGAAGCAUACCGCUUGUUAGGUGAAGUAAAGUUUGAGCUCAAGGAUUAUGAUGGGAGUUCUUCAUCAUACAGGAACUCUCUAUCUUCAUCUGACAGCAUUGAUUUUGACGUUCUCCGUGGGCUGACAAAUUCAUUAGUUGCUGCUAAGAAGCCCGAUCAGGCAGUCGAAGUAAUUCUAUCUUGCCGUCGCAAGUUGAGUGAAAAGCGUCAAACCAGGCAACCUGAUUUGGAGGCUGCAAAUGAGAAUGGUGCUCAGGAGUCUCGAGAUAUUGAUCCUAUCCAAGUUGACCUGCUUCUCGGAAAGGCCUAUUCUGAUUGGGGCCAUAUCAGUGAUGCUGUUACUGUUUAUGAUAACUUAAUCGCUGAACAUCCUGAAGACUUCCGUGGUUAUUUGGCGAAGGGAGCUAUACUGAAGCAAAAUGGUAAGGCAGGUGAUGCAGAAAGAAUGUUUAUUCAGGCCAAAUUCUUCGCCCCAGAGGCAGCAAAGGCACUUGUUGAUAUUUAUGCACAGAGAUAGUCCACGAGAGGUAAAGGAGGAAAAAACUUCCGUUUGAGGUGGACUUAAGCUGUCGUGGACUGUUAGCACUCAGUAGGACAUUACAGGCGAGGGCAGCAGUCCAUGCUAAGCUUGUAGAAGAUCAAGCAGACCAAAUGAAGGCAGGGAAAAUCAAUAGAAGAGCAAGAGUUCAAAGGGAAGGAAAAGAGUUUGAAAAGGUUUUGGACAAAGUCUUAUAGGACACACAAUUCAAUUCGUUAAGUCGAAAGUUCAGUUUGUCGCUGCUAUUCUGAUAAUGUUCUAAAAGGACAAAAGUUGCGAAAUAGUGGUUACUCUGCUUGAGAAAUACUCCCUUCCAUCAAGUAUGAUGUCCCAUUGAAACACCGAUAUGUAAAAAGGGUUCAACCUAUUGAGGUUUCCGUAAUUCGCCACCGCUGAAGGUAUCCUAUGUCCAAGUAAAUUGGGUACCUAAAAACUACUCUCACCCCUGAAGCCACAUAAGAUUAACUGAUUAACUGGGUUUGCAAGGAGAACCGGGAAUUGAAGAGCUCCCACAACUACACGGAUAUACCGGCAUAGUAUAAUCCAAUCGCGGGCUUUCAUUUUCUGAUUCCCUUUUUCAUUCUUAACCUGGUUGACUAACUCACUUGCAAUGUUGUACUCGUAUUAGGCAAUCAGUCUUCAUUAGAAGACAGAUUGUUGGUGACACAUUUUUCAUAGCUUGGUUGUCAUUGUUUCAGCUCGUUUGUAUGGUAUGGAAGUAAAGCAAAUCAUGUUUUUGCGGUAUUGCUAGAAGGAAAAGGAAAACAGGGCAGGGCCGCAGGACCCCGCUUCGUUUCCAAGUAUGGUCAGAGACAUUUGGCUCUCGAGGCCACGUGAUACCUUUUUUCAGACAAUUCAAAACCAAGUUUAUUUAGAAGUUGCAAAAAAAUACGUACAAAAAGUAUGUGUGUUUGGCUCUGGAGGUCACAUUUUUGCAUAGCUUAUCUAAAAAACGGCUCAACUCCAAAGCAAACAUUAUUCACAAUCACAUCUCCUACAAUAACGAC
RNAcentral lists this ribosomal RNA (2582 nucleotides) under Triticum aestivum (bread wheat). RNAcentral's name for it is "partial small subunit ribosomal RNA". Lineage: Eukaryota; Viridiplantae; Streptophyta; Magnoliopsida; Poales; Poaceae. The record is from RNAcentral.